GACGAACGCUGGCGGCGUGCCUAAUACAUGCAAGUCGAACGCUUCUUUCCUCCCGAGUGCUUGCACUCAAUUGGAAAGAGGAGUGGCGGACGGGUGAGUAACACGUGGGUAACCUACCCAUCAGAGGGGGAUAACACUUGGAAACAGGUGCUAAUACCGCAUAACAGUUUAUGCCGCAUGGCAUAAGAGUGAAAGGCGCUUUCGGGUGUCGCUGAUGGAUGGACCCGCGGUGCAUUAGCUAGUUGGUGAGGUAACGGCUCACCAAGGCCACGAUGCAUAGCCGACCUGAGAGGGUGAUCGGCCACACUGGGACUGAGACACGGCCCAG
RNAcentral lists this ribosomal RNA (328 nucleotides) under uncultured bacterium. RNAcentral describes it as "bacterial SSU rRNA". It matches the Rfam family "Bacterial small subunit ribosomal RNA", at positions 28 to 334 of the family's 1533-position model. The record is from RNAcentral.